Molecule: non-coding RNA, 72 nt
Filed under: unclassified sequences
Source: RNAcentral
UGCAGAGCGAAAAAACCUACUAUCGCCGGAUAGCAGGUUUUUUUAAUGCAGGAAGACCGGUCGCAACCCCGG